UACCUGGUUGAUCCUGCCAGUAGUCAUAUGCUUGUUUCGAGGAUUAAGCCAUGCAAGUCUCAGAGUAAAUGGAAUAAAGUAGAUCUGCGAACAGCUCAUUAAACCAGCGAUAACCUACGCGAGAAAACUGCUUUUAGCAGACAAUUGGAUAACUUUGGUAACUACAAAGCUAACACAUGUCAGUAAAGCUUGUUUCACAUCAAACUGUGCCUCCGGGUACGGGGUGGGAUGAGCGGACAUAACCGAAAUGGAAACCAGCGCUUGCAAAAGCAGUGGUUAUUGGAUGAAUCAGGUUAUCUAUCCAGUAGCGGACGCUUCGUGUGCCGCAAGCUCGCAAGGGUUUCUGCCCCAUCAGCUUGUCGAUAGGGUAUUGGCCUAUCGUGGCUUUCACGGGUAACGGGGAAUUAGGGUUCGAUUCCGGAGAGGGAGCCUGAGAAACGGCUACCACAACUAAGGUUGGCAGCAGGCGCGUAAAUUGCCCAAUGGUAACACUUAACCGAGGCAGCGAAGAGAAAUAGCAGGAUUACUCGGCACUGCCGUGUAAUCACUGCAAUGGACGAUAUGUAAAUGUGUCGAUGAGUAUCAAUUGGAGGACAAGUCUGGUGCCAGCACCCGCGGUAAUUCCAGCUCCAAUAGCGUAUAUUAUUGCUGCUGCUGUUAAAAAGCUCGUAGUUGGAUUAAGAGUUUCACGGUGCUGUGUGGCCCAUCGUAGUCAUAUCCCCAUCGGGUUAUGGUGAAAGUGCGGAUCAAACCCACAGCAUUAAGCCGUGUGCUCUAAUAGCCCGAAACGGUUGAUGGUGGACGGCUCCUUCAUUGGGGCUGAAAGCGAUUUCGCAUUUACCUUAUGCAUAAGUCACGUCGGGCGAUGUCACUGUGAACAAACCAGCGCGUUCAAAGCAGGCUUUUGCCAGAAUGUUCGAGCAUGGAAUGACAAGGGAUCGACCAAAAUGGUCCUUUUUGUUGGUUUCUGUACCAAAAAUGGGUAACUCUGUAUACAAAGACUGGACAAGAUCCCCAAUCUUCGGGUUGGGCCUUGACCAGCUUGUAUUCAAACGGGAUCAAUAGAGACAAUCGGGGUCGUAAGUACUCGGAUGUCAGAGGUGAAAUUCUUAGAUCAUCCGAAGACUAACUUCUGCGAAAGCAUUUCGACAAGAAUGUCUUCAUUAAUCAAGAACGAGAGUGUGGGGAUCGAAGAUGAUUAGAUACCGUUGUAGUCCACGACUGUAAACAAUGCCACCUCAGGAUCGAUUUGGCUUACAUUCUGUUCCAAACGGCACUAACCCCUGAAACGAGAAAUCAAAGGUUAUGGGUUCAGGGGGGGAGUACAUUUCGCAAGGCUGAAACUUAAAGGAAUUGACGGAAUGACACCACCAGGCGUGGAGUAUGCGGCUUAAUUUGACUCAACACGGGAAAUUUUACUAGGUCAGGACAAUGUAAGGAUUGACAGGUUGAGAGCCCUUUCUAGAUCCAUUGUGUGGUGGUGCAUGGCCGCUCCUGGUUGGUGAAGUGAUUUGUCUGGUUGAUUCCGUUAACGAACGAGAUCUUGACCAAUAAAUAGGCCGCAGUGUCGACGUAGUUCUUAGCACUUCUUCGGAAGCUCGCUGGGGACAAGACAGCUGCGUCCAGCUUCUUAUUGGGACUGUGUGCGUCUUUAGCACGCGGAAGUGCAAGCCAAUAGCAGGUCUGUGAUGCUCCUAAAUGUCCUAGGCUGCACGCGCACUACACUGAUGAAGAAAACGAGUGUGAUAUAGUCCUUGUGGCUAUCCUGUUUCGAAGGAAAUGGGAAAUCUUUUAAACCUUCAUCGUGAUUAGGAUAGAAGAUUGCAAUUAUUCUCCUUGAAUGAGGAAUGCCUCGUAGGCGCAAGUCAUCAGCUUGCACUGAUUACGUUCCUGCCAUUUGUACACACCGCCCGUCGUUGCUACCGAUUGAUCUGCGGGUAGAGAUUGGCGGAUUCGAUACGCUUCUGGGUCACCGGUUCGUAUUAAAGAAACCAAUCAAUAUCCUCAGGUUAGAGGAAGCAAAAGUCGUAACAAGGUUGCUGUAGGUGAACCUGCAGAAGGAUC
This 2064-nucleotide ribosomal RNA is filed under the name uncultured eukaryote. RNAcentral describes it as "SSU rRNA". It matches the Rfam family "Eukaryotic small subunit ribosomal RNA". The record is from RNAcentral.